Molecule: transfer RNA, 72 nt
Filed under: Diaphorina citri (Asian citrus psyllid)
Lineage: Eukaryota; Metazoa; Arthropoda; Insecta; Hemiptera; Psyllidae
Rfam family: tRNA
About the family: Transfer RNA (tRNA) molecules are approximately 80 nucleotides in length. Their secondary structure includes four short double-helical elements and three loops (D, anti-codon, and T loops).
Source: Rfam by way of RNAcentral
GCUCCCAUGGCGUAGUGGUCACUGCGCUCGCCUUGCACGCGGGAGACCCAGGUUCGAUUCGCGGUGGGGUCA